UAGGGAAUCUUCGGCAAUGGACGAAAGUCUGACCGAGCAACGCCGCGUGAGUGAAGAAGGUUUUCGGAUCGUAAAACUCUGUUGUUAGAGAAGAACAAGGACGUUAGUAACUGAACGUCCCCUGACGGUAUCUAACCAGAAAGCCACGGCUAACUACGUGCCAGCAGCCGCGGUAAUACGUAGUUGGCAAGCGUUGUCCGGAUUUAUUGGGCGUAAAGCGAGCGCAGGCGGUUUCUUAAGUCUGAUGUGAAAGCCCCCGGCUCAACCGGGGAGGGUCAUUGGAAACUGGGAGACUUGAGUGCAGAAGAGGAGAGUGGAAUUCCAUGUGGAGCGGUGAAAUGCGUAGAUAUAUGGAGGAACACCAGUGGCGAAGGCGGCUCUCUGGUCUGUAACUGACGCUGAGGCUCGAAAGCGUGGGGAGCAAACAGG
Molecule: ribosomal RNA, 429 nt
Filed under: Gemmatimonadota bacterium
Lineage: Bacteria; Pseudomonadati; Gemmatimonadota
Description: Gemmatimonadetes bacterium partial 16S ribosomal RNA
Rfam family: Bacterial small subunit ribosomal RNA
Source: RNAcentral